CAGGGCUUGACAUCCCGCUGACGGAUUUAGAGAUAAGUCGUCCCUUCGGGGCAGCGGAGACAGGUGGUGCAUGGUUGUCGUCAGCUCGUGUCGUGAGAUGUUGGGUUAAGUCCCGCAACGAGCGCAACCCUUAUCAACAGUUGCCAUCAUUAAGUUGGGAACUCUGUUGAGACUGCCGUUGAUAAAACGGAGGAAGGUGGGGAUGAUGUCAAGUCAUCAUGGCCUUUAUGUUCAGGGCUACACACGUGCUACAAUGGCCGGUACAAAACGUCGCAAUCCCGCAAGGGGGAGCUAAUCGCAAAAACCGGUCUCAGUUCGGAUUGAAGUCUGCAACUCGACUUCAUGAAGUUGGAAUCGCUAGUAAUCGCGGAUCAGAACGCCGCGGUGAAUACGUUCCC
Molecule: ribosomal RNA, 398 nt
Filed under: uncultured bacterium
Lineage: Bacteria
Description: bacterial SSU rRNA
Rfam family: Bacterial small subunit ribosomal RNA
Source: RNAcentral